AGAGUUUGAUCCUGGCUCAGAGCGAACGCUGGCGGCAGGCUUAACACAUGCAAGUCGAACGGGCGUAGCAAUACGUCAGUGGCAGACGGGUGAGUAACACGUGGGAACGUACCUUUUGGUUCGGAACAACUGAGGGAAACUUCAGCUAAUACCGGAUAAGCCCUUACGGGGAAAGAUUUAUCGCCGAAAGAUCGGCCCGCGUCUGAUUAGCUAGUUGGUGGGUAAGAGCCCACCAAGGCGACGAUCAGUAGCUGGUCUGAGAGGAUGAUCAGCCACAUUGGGACUGAGACACGGCCCAAACUCCUACGGGAGGCAGCAGUGGGGAAUAUUGGACAAUGGGCGAAAGCCUGAUCCAGCCAUGCCGCGUGAGUGAUAAAGGCCCUAGGGUUGUAAAGCUCUUUUAACGGGGAAGAUAAUGACGGUACCCGUAGAAUAAGCCCCGGCUAACUUCGUG
RNAcentral lists this ribosomal RNA (454 nucleotides) under uncultured bacterium. RNAcentral's name for it is "bacterial SSU rRNA". It matches the Rfam family "Bacterial small subunit ribosomal RNA", at positions 8 to 507 of the family's 1533-position model. The record is from RNAcentral.